Molecule: non-coding RNA, 1861 nt
Organism: Microcebus murinus (gray mouse lemur)
Lineage: Eukaryota; Metazoa; Chordata; Mammalia; Primates; Cheirogaleidae
Source: RefSeq, a predicted model, not a curated record
CCUGGCUCUUUGCUUCUGCUUAGCGCCUUGGCGCGCUUGGUCACAGCGCCCCGGAAAACGCUGGGGUUUCCACAGCGCAGAAUGGAAUGGUUCAUUCUGUGUUGUUCCUCCUCCACUCGGGCACGUCACCUGCUCUGCUCCUGGCAAGCCUUCCAGGUGGGCUGGCUUCUGCCCCACCCGGGCACGGCAGCACCUUCUCCCUUCCCUUCAGGCACCUGCUGCUCCUCCCUCCCCGACUUAGCUGUGAAUCUUCGCGAAACCGCUGGCGACCUGGUGGCAGGUGCCUCUCCUCUCUUUGCCUCAGUUUCCUCCUUUGUAAGAUAAGAACCCUAACACCAAGUUGCAGGUGGUGGGAGGAUUAAACAAGGAAAUACACUUGAAGUGUUUAGAUUGGAGUGUGCGGCCUGCAAUGUGCUCAGUGACUGUUAGUUAAAAGGAAGCAAAACAGAACCAAGGAAACAACAACUGUGCGGACAGACGUGAUUAGGACAAGCCACCCUGCAUGGACUUUGACCGUUCAACAGAUUCAUUUCUCUGGCUUACAACUAAAGAGCCACACUCACAUGCUCUUCCUGCCAUCAGCAUUUCCUCCGGAGGAGGUAUUAGGAGAUGGUUCUUGGCCACCUCCAACUGCAAGGGGCUGGCAGGAGACAGGACUACAGAAGUCUGGUGUUUGCCACGUAUGAUGACCCUCACGGAAACGCAGGAUGCAUAGAUCAAUACAGAAAUGCAAAGAUGGCCGUUGGAGAGACUUCUGACUGUGAGGCGCUGCUCACGAGGCGGGACCGCGCCCAGAUUCUGUUGGACUAGCUGCGGUGGGUCCAACAAAGCUCAGCUCUUCUGACCCUGCUCCCAGCUGACCGGCCAGGUCAGUGGAGAUUGCUUUUUGGAAUAAAAGGUUUAUGAAGUUAGCUUAAUUUUAUUAAUUUGUCUUCACAUCCAACAGACAAUAUGUCAUUUGGCCAAAUUUUAUGAUUCAGUUACUGGAAAGAACUUUUAGUUCAAUGUAUUCUCUACUUUUAUUAUUAAUGUCAUACAACACAUACAGUUUUUGUAAAAUUUAUUCAGACAACCUAACUGUUUUUCUCUUGGGGUUGAUAUUUCACUUUGCUUUGUUUCAACUGGAAUAUCAUAGUCCUUUAGUGCUGUGAUAGCUUCUGUCAUUUUCAUGAAUAUCUUCACUUUGCCUUUUAUGUUCAGCCACUUUUGCCAUUCCUCUAUUAAUCUAUUAUUAGCUCUAACAAUUUAAAUUUUCUUCAAGUAAAGCCCAAUCUCUAGAAAAGUUUUCAUUUUCCAACAUUUAAUGACUCCCACUUCCCACGUUCUGUCUGCAAAGCCCAGGCUCCCAAACUGCCCUUGCAGAACCACCCUGUCACCCAAAGAGUUUUCAAUUUUUCUUUAUAUUGAUUUCUUUUUUCUGCACAUACUGUUUAAUCCUCUCUGAGGCUUAUUUUAUAUGUGGUUGAAAAAAUAAAGUUUAUUGAGAAAAGAAAUAAAGUUAGCUGAUUUAUAGGUUUUAUUGCAUUUUUCAUAAAUAAAUAAAUCCAGUGUUGUGGCUGGGAACAAGCCAAACUAAAUUUUUCCACCUUCUGGAUGGAAAGCCAUGUUUCCUCUGGAAUAUUAGGCUGCACCACCUGGACAAAACCACACAAUGUAUGCAUGUAAAUAUUUCUCACGGAAACCCAUGUUUUACGUGCACUGACAAUAAAGUGUGCUAUAUUGUUUCAGAUAUCUUAUUUUUUUUCAUUUAAUCCCCAAUGUGAUAAUAUCAGAUAUGUUAUAGUAUCAGGAAAUGAUUAACUUAUCUUAAAAAUCUUGGAUUUCACGUUUUAAGUAAAUUCUUACAAUUUUUAUGCUAAAG